CAGUCGCCACGGGAAUACGUAGGGGGCAAGCGUUAUCCGGAAUUACUGGGUGUAAAGGGAGCGUAGACGGUUAAACAAGUCUGAAGUGAAAUGCCGGGGCUCAACCCCGGAGCUGCUUUGGGAACUGUAGAACUGGAGUGUCGGAGGGGUAAGCGGAAUUCCCAGUGUAGCGGUGAAAUGCGUAGAUAUUGGGAGGAACACCGGCGGCGAAGGCGGCUUACUGGACGACAACUGACGUUGAGGCUCGAAGGCGUGGGUAGCAAACAGGAUUAGAUACCCGGGUAGUCCCUGUCUCUUAUAU
Molecule: ribosomal RNA, 301 nt
Filed under: uncultured bacterium
Lineage: Bacteria
Description: partial 16S ribosomal RNA
Rfam family: Bacterial small subunit ribosomal RNA
Source: RNAcentral